This 29-nucleotide non-coding RNA is filed under the name Rattus norvegicus (Norway rat). The record is from RNAcentral. Lineage: Eukaryota; Metazoa; Chordata; Mammalia; Rodentia; Muridae.
UACGUAGAAACAAAAAUGGCCGUGGAUGA